CCCUUAGAUGUUCUGGGCCGCACGCGCGCUACACUGAAGGGAUCAGCGUGUUUUCCCUUCCCGAGAGGGACGGGUAACCCGCUGAACCCCCUUCGUGGUAGGGAUCGGAGCUUGCAAUUGUUCCCCGUGAACCAGGAAUUCCCAGUAAGCGCAAGUCAUAAGCUUGCGUUGAUUACGUCCCUGCCCUUUGUACACACCGCCCGUCGCUACUACCGAUUGAACGUUUUAGUGAGGUAUUUGGACUGGGCCUUGGGAGGUUUCGGCCUCCCUUGUUGCUCGGAAAGACUCCCAAACUUGAGCGUUUAGAGGAAGUAAAAGUCGUAACA
This 326-nucleotide ribosomal RNA is filed under the name uncultured eukaryote. RNAcentral describes it as "partial 18S ribosomal RNA". It matches the Rfam family "Eukaryotic small subunit ribosomal RNA", at positions 1470 to 1796 of the family's 1831-position model. The record is from RNAcentral.